RNAcentral lists this long non-coding RNA (870 nucleotides) under Mus spicilegus (steppe mouse). RNAcentral's name for it is "lncRNA (ENSMSIG00000002962.1)". The record is from RNAcentral. Lineage: Eukaryota; Metazoa; Chordata; Mammalia; Rodentia; Muridae.
UGUUAUGAAGGAUCUAUGGAAGCCCAGUCAUAAGAAGAAACGUGGCUUAAUUCACCCCCAGUAUGACGAUAGAACUACUGGGUUUCACAGGGACCUGCAGGGCUUCAUGUCACAUAAACUUACAAAUCGUAAAAUUGGAGGCACCCUCAGCCUGCCGAUGUUUUCUGCAUGGGGAUGAUUUGUGGGACCAAAGUCAAUUAAAGUUCGGCUUGAAGUGAGUAACAGACCCUCAGAAUUAUUACACAAUUGCCCUACCAUAUGUUUCUGUCGUUUGGGUCUCCUCAAGUCCUUUUGCAUUUCUUCUUCGGCCGUCUUCCUCCUACCCCCCGCUAAGCUUUCUUUCUCAUCAUCAUCCCCAAGCAGUGGAAGACAGAGCCAUAAACAGCAAGGAAUAUGAAACGUGAGGCUCACAUGAAUGUGGGGAGAGAGUGGUUUAUGCGUGUAAUGGUGCCUACACACAUUUAAUUCCUAAAUCCAAACUCAUAGGCUUAGGGUGAAAUUAGCAAUUUUAAAAAUGUUGGUCCUAAGUGAAAAGUGAGCCUGCUUUGUAACAGUUGGUAAAGAUAUUGAUAACUUAUAUAAAGGCACUGUGGUUUGGUCUCUGCCUAGAGGUGGGUGGUGUAUGGCAUCAGGAACAUUACAAAUAAUUCUCUUUAGACACAGAUUUCAUAAUUUCCUUGUAACCUACUGGUAAGACUUCCACGGAGAAUUCUUUCAUCUCUACCUCACAUCCCAGAGGCUCUGGCCGUGCUAGGUAAGGACCCAACCACUGAGCAUAGCCCCCGGCCCAAGAAUUAUCAUUCUGAGUUGCUCAAUAGAGUUCACAUCCUGCUGUUGUUUUAGAAAAUAAAACAAAUCCAACAUAAAGCA